AGUGAACGCUGGCGGUAGGCCUAACACAUGCAAGUCGAACGGCAGCACAGUAAGAGCUUGCUCUUACGGGUGGCGAGUGGCGGACGGGUGAGGAAUACAUCGGAAUCUACUUUUUCGUGGGGGCUAACGUAGGGAAACUUACGCUAAUACCGCAUACGACCUACGGGUGAAAGCAUGGGAUCUUCGGACCUUGCGCGAUUGAAUGAGCCGAUGUCGGAUUAGCUAGUUGGCGGGGUAAAGGCCCACCAAGGCGACGAUCCGUAGCUGGUCUGAGAGGAUGAUCAGCCACACUGGAACUGAGACACGGUCCAGACUCCUACGGGAGGCAGCAGUGGGGAAUAUUGGACAAUGGGCGCAAGCCUGAUCCAGCCAUACCGCGUGGGUGAAGAAGGCCUUCGGGUUGUAAAGCCCUUUUGUUGGGAAAGAAAAGCAGCAGGUUAAUACCCCGCUGUUCUGACGGUACCCAAAGAAUAAGCACCGGCUAACUUCGUG
RNAcentral lists this ribosomal RNA (492 nucleotides) under uncultured bacterium. Its description in RNAcentral is "partial 16S ribosomal RNA". It matches the Rfam family "Bacterial small subunit ribosomal RNA", at positions 29 to 507 of the family's 1533-position model. The record is from RNAcentral.